This 215-nucleotide ribosomal RNA is filed under the name uncultured bacterium. RNAcentral describes it as "partial 16S ribosomal RNA". It matches the Rfam family "Bacterial small subunit ribosomal RNA", at positions 524 to 738 of the family's 1533-position model. The record is from RNAcentral.
UACAGAGGGUGCAAACGUUGUUCGGAUUUACUGGGCGUAAAGCGCGUGUAGGCUGCUUCGCAAGUCGGAUGUGAAAGCCCUGGGCUCAACCCAGGAAGUGCAUUCGAAACUGCAGAGCUGGAGUCCUGGAGAGGAAGGCGGAAUUCUCGGUGUAGAGGUGAAAUUCGUAGAUAUCGAGAGGAACACCGGUGGCGAAGGCGGCCUUCUGGACAGUG